RNAcentral lists this transfer RNA (71 nucleotides) under Gobiopterus lacustris (lacustrine goby). RNAcentral's name for it is "tRNA-Gly". It matches the Rfam family "tRNA". Rfam says of the family: Transfer RNA (tRNA) molecules are approximately 80 nucleotides in length. Lineage: Eukaryota; Metazoa; Chordata; Actinopteri; Gobiiformes; Gobiidae. The record is from RNAcentral.
AUUUUUCUAGUACAAUUUCAGUAUUAGUGACUUCCAAUCACCAGGUCUUGGUUAAACCCCAGGGAAAAAUA